This 443-nucleotide ribosomal RNA is filed under the name uncultured bacterium. RNAcentral's name for it is "partial 16S ribosomal RNA". It matches the Rfam family "Bacterial small subunit ribosomal RNA", at positions 338 to 795 of the family's 1533-position model. The record is from RNAcentral.
CCUACGGGUGACAGCAGUGGGGAAUAUUGGGCAAUGGAGGAAACUCUGACCCAGCAACGCCGCGUGAAUGAUGAAGGUCUUCGGAGGGUAAAGUUCUUUUCUAAGGGAAGAAGAAAGUGACGGUACCGUAGGAAUAAGCCUCGGCUAACUACGGGCCAGCAGCCGCGGGAAUACGUAGGAGGCGAGCGUUAUCCGGAAUGACUGGGCGGAAAGGGUGCGUAGGUGGUUUGGCCAGGUAGUAGCGUAACUCCAAGGCUCAACCUUGGAACUACUACUACAACGUUUGGACUUGAGUGCAGGCGUGGCAACCGCAUUUCCUCGUGUAGCGGUUGAAUGCGUUGAUCUUAGGAGGAACCCCAGUGGCGCAGGCGGGUUGCUAGACUGUAACUGACCCUGAGGCACGAAUGCGUGGGGAGCAACCAGGAUUCGAUACCCCAGUAGUC